GCGGGCGUGGCGGAACAGGUAGACGCAAGGGACUUAAAAUCCCUCGGUUGGAAAACCAUGCGGGUUCGAGUCCCGCCGCCCGCACCA
Molecule: transfer RNA, 87 nt
Filed under: Afifella marina
Lineage: Bacteria; Pseudomonadati; Pseudomonadota; Alphaproteobacteria; Hyphomicrobiales; Afifellaceae
Also listed under: 4 other names
Description: tRNA-Leu
Rfam family: tRNA
About the family: Transfer RNA (tRNA) molecules are approximately 80 nucleotides in length. Their secondary structure includes four short double-helical elements and three loops (D, anti-codon, and T loops).
Source: RNAcentral